Molecule: transfer RNA, 155 nt
Filed under: Ochrobactrum sp. BTU1
Lineage: Bacteria; Pseudomonadati; Pseudomonadota; Alphaproteobacteria; Hyphomicrobiales; Brucellaceae
Description: tRNA-Ala
Source: RNAcentral
GCAGCACCAUUUUUGUUAAACAGCAUAACUCUAUAUACACUUUUAGAGACAACAAGAUCUCAAAAACUUAACGUUUUCAAUGUUGUAUCGUGUUGUUUCUAGACACAUCCCUCGCAAGGAUGGGAUCAGCAGUUCGAGUCUGCGAUGCGGCACCA